CAUUGAUGUACAUAAAUGCCUUGUACUUUACUUAUGAAAAGUGGUUAUUUUUCUUUAAAUUGAGAGUAAAAAUAUUCGCAACAAAAAUAAAAUAUUUAAUUGAAAAGUAUUCUUCGUCGGGUCUCCGAGUGAAUUCAAAAGUAUUCACUUUUAUCAAAAAAACUGUGAAAGUGUCACAUCAACAACGAAACAACAAAAUAUUUUUGCCGUAUGACAGAAAGAGUGGAUUUGAAUUAUUUUCAUCUUCUCUUGCGCACGGUGAAUUAAUUGAAAGUUAGUUGCAGCAAAAAGCACGGAAAAUUUCUUUUACUCCGCGGACCGCGGUUUUUUUUCGCAACUAAUCACAUUGAUCCUGCUAUUGAUCCUUUGUAUAACUCGAAAUACGCCAUCGAUAUGUUCCAGCUUUGCCAAACCUGGAACGUCAAACAAAUGUGCAAAGAUGGUGCUUCCACUGGAACUCUUGCUGAUUACUGACUUGCAAAGUGGAGCAACUCGAUUUCACCGGAUUAGGAGAUUCGAAGAUUUCUGGGAAAUCAAAUCCAACAGGCCAUGGUAGACAGAAUUGAAAUCAUGUCUAAAAUGACGCUAAACCGGAUACGAUAAGCGCACUAAAUCGCAGUGGAACGGAGAAACUCCGUUGCAUAAAAAUGCCUAGCCAACGUGAUUGUAUUGUCAUUGCUGGGUGCGGCUGGGCUAUCUCACCGGCAGAUAAAUGGCAACGAUAUACACAGUUUCUACAUGUCACGAAACGCAUCCUGACGAGUGAAGAUGAUCACUUUGAGCGAGUUUUAAGAGCUGCUAAAUUAAGAAAGAAGAAAUUAUAUUUAGAUUGAAAUUAUGAAAUAAAAAGGAUAAAUUAGGUAAA
Molecule: long non-coding RNA, 865 nt
Organism: Armigeres subalbatus
Lineage: Eukaryota; Metazoa; Arthropoda; Insecta; Diptera; Culicidae
Exons: 4
Source: RefSeq, a predicted model, not a curated record